RNAcentral lists this long non-coding RNA (3274 nucleotides) under Brassica napus (rape). RNAcentral describes it as "long non-coding RNA (BNAP_LNC022215)". The record is from RNAcentral. Lineage: Eukaryota; Viridiplantae; Streptophyta; Magnoliopsida; Brassicales; Brassicaceae.
UGAGAUGGUUCUGUCUCUGCUUUGGGAACAAUGGAGCUUUUACAAACUUCACUCUCACGGACCACUGGUUCAAAAGAAGGCUCCACCUUCAACCGUUUUGAUGAAGGUUCCAAAUUAUCUACAGUAUCAGUACAUCCAGGGGCACCAGAAACGGCUCCAUCAGUAGCGCAUGGUGAAUCAUUUGAUACUACAGCUCCGUUCACUACACUGCUUUCGCUUUUUAAACGGGCCUGGACACGCGCAUUAGCUUGCUGCUGAUGGUAGGUCUUAACUGGUACACAGACGGGGCACCGAGGAUCCUUGCAGUUUUUAUAGUGGCCAAUCAACGACUUCGUGGGGCGACAACGAGGAUACAAACACUGAGGCUCUACACAGCUGUUCAUGUGACUCAGUAGCUUCUGAACAGUAACGCAGUUUCGUCCCGGGCACUUCACUCCUGGCCGUUUGCAGGUCCGUGCAUGAAGCAGAAACAAGAGCCAUCUCUGUUGAUUUUGGAACUUGACAUCGCGAUUUCCAUAUCUACAUGCCGUUCCAGUUGCAUUUUGCAGACUGUGGGAUUCGGAUGCGGUGGAAGUAUGAAUUUGACCAAUAACAGACCCUUCCAUCAAAUUAUUAGGUUGAGCUUCAUCCGUACCGGUAACUCUUUCACGAAAAUCCUCCUGAACGUUCUGUUCACUCGACAUACCAUUAGACAUUUGAGUGUUUCCCUGAGACUGGGAAGGCCACUGAUCCUGUGGAUUGGAUUCUAAUUUUACUCCAACAGCAAGGUUGCUAAAACUGUGGACUGUAUCAGAGCCCGGGUGCAUCAUUUGCUGAACCUGUUGGCUAUUUUGAGGAAGGAGCGUGCAUAUAUCACUCUGACUUGUAACUGCUACAUGUUGAGCGUUUGCAGAGCGGUCUGCUCCUGGGUUCUGAUAUUGAUUCUGGAACUGAGAAAGCUGGAGUCGUUCAGAUGCUUGGGAGUGCAAAGGUUCACUAUGGCUCUGCACUCCAGGUUCAUGUUGAACAUUCGUAACAACGUCAGAAGCCACCUGAGGUUUCCCGGAACCAUCUUUGCUUAUUAACUUAUGUUGCUGCAGGGCCUGCUGCUUCAAUGUUUUUUGCUGGAUAAAUUUCUGCUGCUGCUGCUGCUGUUGUUGAAUCUGAUUAGGCUGUUGCGGAAAUUGUUGUUGUUGAUGUGAAUGCAGAGAAGAGUUAGCUCUGGACACAGACUGGAAACUUGCUGCAUUGAUAUUCUGAGCACUUGGCAUCUUCCCUACCGAUGUUACAGCUCCAUGCAAAUUUUUAGAUCCAAGGUUGUUGUCAGGAUUUGUUGUUCUAUAACCUUCCCCUGAAAUAUGAAGAAACAUACUUUAAAAUAUUCUGAUAGGUUAGUACUAGUGCCAAAGCACAAGAAAGGACCAUACAUAUAAAAUGAGAUGAUUAGGACAGACGAAAAAGCGAGAGCCUGAAGAGUUUACCUGCGUCUACACUUUUUUUGCUCACACCAACACCACCAUUUACAGAGUUACUAGCCACACCAGCCAGCUUUGGUUGCAUGUUGUCCGGUCUAUGACCAGCAGUCAUUUGGUUAGACACCGUUUGACUAUUUUGACCACCAGUAUCCUGCCUUUGCUUCUGCUGCUGAGACUGAGGUACCACCGUGGGCUCAGCAGAAAAUCCACCACUGUUGUUAUUAGUACCACUAUUAACGAAACCAGGUGUAGGAAUCAUCUGGGGAGCACUUCUUUGAGAACCCAUGUUCCCUCUUGAACCAAGAGAAAAGUUUCUCGGUGAAUUCUGGUAACCAUUAGACAUAUUACCUGAAAUGAAAUUGCUAAGGUGUCAGAGACUCGGCGUGAGAUUAAAAUUUCCAGGAAAAGUAUCUAUGAUCAAACCUCCAUGGAUGCCACCAGAAGCUAGAAGGUUUCCAGUGUUGACAGCUUUGCUUGUACUGCUGUUGUUUCCAGCUAUAGUAGUAUCAGCAGAGGGUGUAACCAUCGAAGUAGAAUUAUCCCCAGUAUGUGGUAAUCUUGGAGUAGGUAUCAUCGUAGUACCCCCACCAGCAUGUGAUAAUCCUGGAGUAGGUAUCAUCAUUCCAACAGAAGGAGAAUUAGAAUGUCGCUGAUUGUAGUUAUUCAAAUGUCUGCCUUUUAUUAGGCUCGUAAUCCUAGACUCAAGGGUUGACCGGUUCACGUAAUCCUCCUGUUAGUAUAAGUCGAAAAGAAAAAUCUUAAGGAAUGACAUGAGUCAACAAGCUGGAUGUAGAGGCAGAAAUAUUUUGAGAUACCUUUGAGACGGCCAUCUUAAACAGCCCCUCCUCUAAGCGUCUAGCAACAUCCAUAUACUUUGCCUUUGAUGCAGCAUCGGCCUGUGAUGGUUGCCGCUGCUGUAACAUGUUAAACCUGUACAAAUCAAUAGAAAAGUUAUUAUUCAUCAGCGAGCACAUACUUGUGGAGAGAAAAUAAAAGGAUAAAUCUAUGAAUAAAAAUUGCUUUUCUGUAAAUUUUUGAAGUCAAUAAAAUCGCACACCUGGCCAACCCACUGACGAAGACUAAGAAUAUGUUCUCUCACUUGGUCGGGAGUGAACAUUUCAGUUAAAGAAACACCCUUUAUCUUUGGUUUUCCAGGUUUUGAUGCAACAACGUCAGCAGACUCCACCACAACUUCUUCCUUCGGCUCUUUCUCCAUUUUAACGUUUUCUUGCUUUAGCGAGGCACCAGAUAAAUCAUGUUGACCUGGUUCACUGACAGGCCUAGGUUUGGGAACAUUUUCAACAGCUUCAUGUUUUAUCUCCUUGAUGCUGAAUCCUGCUUGAACAGAAACAUCAGGAAUCUCUUCUUUCACUUCCAACUUCUCUGACUUCAAUGCCGCAUGUGCGUCGCUCUGCAUAUGAUCCUUUCUUUCAGCAUUCUGAGAUGGUUCUGUCUCUGCUUUGGGAACAAUGGAGCUUUUACAAACUUCACUCUCACGGACCACUGGUUCAAAAGAAGGCUCCACCUUCAACCGUUUUGAUGAAGGUUCCAAAUUAUCUACAGUAUCAGUACAUCCAGGGGCACCAGAAACGGCUCCAUCAGUAGCGCAUGGUGAAUCAUUUGAUACUACAGCUCCGUUCACUACACUGCUUUCGCUUUUUAAACGGGCCUGGACACGCGCAUUAGCUUGCUGCUGAUGGUAGGUCUUAACUGGUACACAGACGGGGCACCGAGGAUCCUUGCAGUUUUUAUAGUGGCCAAUCAACGACUUCGUGGGGCGACAACGAGGAUACAAACACUGAGGCUCUACACAGCUGUUC